RNAcentral lists this transfer RNA (72 nucleotides) under Habropoda laboriosa. RNAcentral describes it as "tRNA-Glu". It matches the Rfam family "tRNA". From Rfam's summary of the family: Transfer RNA (tRNA) molecules are approximately 80 nucleotides in length. Their secondary structure includes four short double-helical elements and three loops (D, anti-codon, and T loops). The record is from Rfam by way of RNAcentral. Lineage: Eukaryota; Metazoa; Arthropoda; Insecta; Hymenoptera; Apidae.
UCCGGUAUGGUCUAGUGGCUAAAAUACCUGGCUCUCACCCAGGAGGCUCGGGUUCGAUUCCCGGUACCGGAA